Molecule: small nuclear RNA, 107 nt
Filed under: Adineta vaga
Lineage: Eukaryota; Metazoa; Rotifera; Eurotatoria; Adinetida; Adinetidae
Source: RNAcentral
GCUUAUCGCCUAGUGCACAUUAUAAAAUUGGAACGAUACAGAGAAGAUUAGCAUGGCCCCUAGGUUGUGGAUGUGUAAGUGAAUCUUCGGAUAAACGGUAAUUGUUA